AAUAAACGUUGGCGGCGUGCUUAACACAUGCAAGUCGAGCGAGAAAAGUUUUCGGACUUAGUACAGCGGCAAACGGGUGAGUAACACGUGGGAAUCUACCUUUUAGUGAAGAAUACCCUCGAGAAAUCGAGGUUAAUGCUGCAUACGUCUCGCAAAGAGAGAAAGAUGGCCUCUUUGCUGUCGCUGAAAGAUGAGCCUGCGUACUAUUAGCUAGUUGGUGGGUAAAGGCCUACCAAGGCUAUGAUGGUUAGCCGGCCUGAGAGGGUGUACGGCCACACUGGAACUUAGACACGGUCCAGACUCCUACGGAGGCAGCAGUGAGGAAUAUUGCGCAAUGGGCGAAAGCCUGACGUAGCGACGCCGCGUUGGAGGAUGAAGGUCUUAGGAUUGU
This 391-nucleotide ribosomal RNA is filed under the name uncultured bacterium. Its description in RNAcentral is "bacterial SSU rRNA". It matches the Rfam family "Bacterial small subunit ribosomal RNA", at positions 29 to 426 of the family's 1533-position model. The record is from RNAcentral.